Molecule: ribosomal RNA, 292 nt
Filed under: uncultured bacterium
Lineage: Bacteria
Description: partial 16S ribosomal RNA
Rfam family: Archaeal small subunit ribosomal RNA
Source: RNAcentral
GUGCCAGCAGCCGCGGUAAUACCGGCAGCCCAAGUGAUGGCCGCUGUUAUUGGGCCUAAAGCGUCCGUAGCUGGCCAGACAAGUCUGUUGGGAAAUCCACGUGCUCAACGCGUGGGCGUCCAGCGGAAACUGUCUGGCUUGGGGCCGGAGGACUCGAGGGGUACGUCCGGGGUAGGAGUGAAAUCCUGUAAUCCUGGACGGACCGCCGGUGGCGAAAGCGCCUCGAGAGGACGGACCCGACAGUGAGGGACGAAAGCCAGGGUCUCGACCCGGAUUAGAUACCCUGUAGUCC